This 255-nucleotide long non-coding RNA is filed under the name Lathyrus oleraceus (garden pea). Its description in RNAcentral is "Pisum sativum (pea) long non-coding RNA (PSAT_LNC003453)". The record is from RNAcentral. Lineage: Eukaryota; Viridiplantae; Streptophyta; Magnoliopsida; Fabales; Fabaceae.
CAGAAUCUACUAGGAUAAAUUUCGUAGAAUUUUCUGGUCUUGGUUUGGUCUUUAGGAAUGAAGAAAAAUCCUGGGGGGAAAAUUCUUGAAAUAUUUUGUAAUAAAGAGGAGUUUGGAGGACAGUAAAGUGUUUCUAAAGGUAAUAUUAGUCUUUAGGAAUGAAGAAAAAUCCUGGGGGGAAAAUUCUUGAAAUAUUUUGUAAUAAAGAGGAGUUUGGAGGACAGUAAAGUGUUUCUAAAGGUAAUAUUGGUAUAG